GGGUCAGUAGGGUGGUCGUGCCACCGGUACGUACUGGUCUCACUGAUUCCUCCUUCCUGAAGAACCGUAAUGCCAUUAAUUUGGUGUUGCGGGGAAACAGGACUGUUACUUCGAAAAAAUUAGAGUGUUUAAAGCAAGCUAACGCUUGAAUACAUUAGCAUGGAAUAAUGAAAUAGGACGAUCGAUCCUAUUUUGUUGGUUUCUUGGAUUGACGUA
Molecule: ribosomal RNA, 216 nt
Filed under: Glomeromycotina sp.
Lineage: Eukaryota; Fungi; Glomeromycota
Description: partial small subunit ribosomal RNA
Rfam family: Eukaryotic small subunit ribosomal RNA (bases 40-216)
Source: RNAcentral